UUUUUGUAAUUAAUAUAAAGUCUAAUCUGCCCCCUGAUAAUUUAUUAAAGGGCUGCAGUAUUUUGACUGUACAAAGGUAGCAUAAUCAUUUGUCUCUUAAUUGGUGACUUGUAUGAAAGAUUGAAUGAAAUAUAAGCUGUCUCUUUAUAAAAAAUAAAAUUUAAUUUUUUAGUAAAAAAGCUAAAAUAAUUUUAAAAGACGAGAAGACCCUAUAGAGUUUAAUAGUUUUUUUUAUAUAAAUAAAAUGUAAAAAUUUAAAUUUAAAUUAAAAUAAUUAUUUUGUUGGGGUGAUAGAAAAAUUAAAUUAACUUUUUUUAAAAAUAAACAUAAAUAAGUGAUUAAAUGAUCCAUUAGUAAUGAUUAUAAGAAAAAAUUACCUUAGGGAUAACAGCGUAAUUUUUUUUUUUAGGCCAAAUAAAAAAAAGAGUUUGCGACCUCGAUGUUGGAUUAAGAUAAAAUUUAAAUGUAAAAGUUUAAAGUUUUGAUCUGUUCGAUCAUUAAAA
This 503-nucleotide ribosomal RNA is filed under the name Troides cuneifer cuneifer. RNAcentral's name for it is "Troides cuneifera cuneifera partial 16S ribosomal RNA". The record is from RNAcentral. Lineage: Eukaryota; Metazoa; Arthropoda; Insecta; Lepidoptera; Papilionidae.